RNA transcript from Dipodomys ordii (Ord's kangaroo rat), 695 nucleotides. It is a transcript of the gene named mitochondrial fission factor pseudogene, with no coding region annotated. Lineage: Eukaryota; Metazoa; Chordata; Mammalia; Rodentia; Heteromyidae. The transcript has a single exon. The record is from RefSeq and is a predicted model, not a curated record.
GUAGUUGGUUCCCAUUUGGUGAGUGAGGCAGCAUUUCCUUCUCCCACUGCUGCUGAGAUGGCAGGAACUAGUCAGAUUCAGUAUGAAAUGGAAUACACCGGAGGUGUAUUAGUCAGCAGAUGAGGGUCCCAGAAAAAUUAAAAAGUUGCUCCACCAAAUGCUGGCCUGGAGCAAGGAUUCCAAGAGGCAUUCCAAACGCUAGUGUGGUAUGCAGGUUCCAGAGAGGAUCGGUGUAGCAGGAAAUAAUGAAGAUGUUUCAUUUUCAAGACCAGCAGAUCUUGACCGUAUCCAGUCAACUCCCUUUAAACCUCUGGCACUAAAAACACCGCCCCGUGUACUUACACUGAGUGAAAGACCACUAGAUUUUCUGGAUUUAGAAAGGCCUCCUCCAACCCCUCAAAAUGAAGAAAUCCGUGCAGUUGGCAGGCUAAAGAGAGAGUGCUCUAUGAGUGAAAAUGCUGUUUGCCAAAAUGGACAGCUGGUCAGGAACGAUUCCAUGUAUGCCAUUUCAUAUAGAUGCCACAAUCGAAGGGACAUCAGAUGACAUGACUGUUGUAGAUGCAACUUCAUUAAGACGAUAGAUAGUCAAACUAAAGAGAUACCUACAACUUCUAGAAGAGGAGAACAAAGAGCAUGCAAAAAGAGAGAUGGUUAUAUAUUCAAUUACUGUAGCAUUCUCGCAGCUUAAUAGCUGA